RNAcentral lists this long non-coding RNA (651 nucleotides) under Chinchilla lanigera (long-tailed chinchilla). Its description in RNAcentral is "lncRNA (ENSCLAG00000028978.1)". The record is from RNAcentral. Lineage: Eukaryota; Metazoa; Chordata; Mammalia; Rodentia; Chinchillidae.
CCCUCCGUUUCCAGGAGACGGGAACACCAGCUUCGCCUCCUCGGACCCCACCUCUCCCGCAGCAGCGGCGGAUGCCAGGGAGCCCUGCCCUGUGGCCACAGAAUCGGGCGCCCGGAAAGACCCGGCCCCCGGGGACCUCCCGGCCCAGAACGUCGUGCGGCUCGGCCUGGCGCUCCUGGUCCUGGUGGCCCUCGCCUGGCUCCUGGCUGAAGACUGGCAGAGCAGGAAGAGGGCUCGUGCGAGAGCCCAGGGCGCCGCGGCUGUGGAGCGCAGGGCAAGGAGGGGGCACAGAGUCCCUGCGGAGAAGGCCGCGGCGCCCUUCCGCUUGGAGUGUGUGUGCGUGUGAGUGUGUGUGUGCAUGUGUGCGUGUGUGUGCGUGUGUGCAUGUGUGAGUGUGCGUGCGUGUGGGUGUGCGUGUGUGCAUGUGUGUGAGUGCGCGCGUGUGCAUGUGUGCGUGUGAGUGUGUGUGUGCAUGCGUGUGUCCAUGUGUGAGUGUGCGUGCGCGGGCGUGCCGCUCUGGGGGCGGGACCCAGGGCUUUGCACUGAGCCGCACCCCCAGCCCACCUCCUUGUUUAUCUGCGGGCACAGGCUCUUGCUGAGUAGCUCAGGGAGAGCCUGUCUCAAGCUAAAAACGAAAACAGGGCUGGGCCG